This 851-nucleotide ribosomal RNA is filed under the name Candidatus Phytoplasma sacchari. Its description in RNAcentral is "bacterial SSU rRNA". It matches the Rfam family "Bacterial small subunit ribosomal RNA", at positions 195 to 1035 of the family's 1533-position model. The record is from RNAcentral. Lineage: Bacteria; Bacillati; Mycoplasmatota; Mollicutes; Acholeplasmatales; Acholeplasmataceae.
AUCCCUCCAAUAGGUAAUGCUUAGGGAGGAGCUUGCGUCACAUUAGUUAGUUGGCAGGGUAAAGGCCUACCAAGACUAUGAUGUGUAGCUGGACUGAGAGGUUGAACAGCCACAUUGGGACUGAGACACGGCCCAAACUCCUACGGGAGGCAGCAGUAGGGAAUUUUCGGCAAUGGAGGAAACUCUGACCGAGCAACGCCGCGUGAACGAUGAAGUAUUUCGGUAUGUAAAGUUCUUUUAUUGAAGAAGAAAAAAUAGUGGAAAAACUAUCUUGACGAUAUUCAAUGAAUAAGCCCCGGCAAACUAUGUGCCAGCAGCCGCGGUAAUACAUAGGGGGCGAGCGUUAUCCGGAAUUAUUGGGCGUAAAGGGUGCGUAGGCGGUUUAAUAAGUCUAUAGUUUAAUUUCAGUGCUUAACACUGUCCUGCUAUAGAAACUAUUAGACUAGAGUGAGAUAGAGGCAAGUGGAAUUCCAUGUGUAGCGGUAAAAUGCGUAAAUAUAUGGAGGAACACCAGAGGCGUAGGCGGCUUGCUGGGUCUUUACUGACGCUGAGGCACGAAAGCGUGGGGAGCAAACAGGAUUAGAUACCCUGGUAGUCCACGCCGUAAACGAUGAGUACUAAGUGUCGGGAUUACUCGGUACUGAAGUUAACACAUUAAGUACUCCGCCUGAGUAGUACGUACGCAAGUAUGAAACUUAAAGGAAUUGACGGGACUCCGCACAAGCGGUGGAUCAUGUUGUUUAAUUCGAAGAUACACGAAAAGCAUACCCAGUUCUUGACAUACUCUGCAAAGCUGUAGAAACACAGUGGAGGGGAGGGGACUGGUAUAGAAAAAAUACGCAAUAAAAUAU